Molecule: long non-coding RNA, 338 nt
Organism: Armigeres subalbatus
Lineage: Eukaryota; Metazoa; Arthropoda; Insecta; Diptera; Culicidae
Exons: 3
Source: RefSeq, a predicted model, not a curated record
CGCUGAGUAACUGAGAAUUAUUAUUUUGAGUUAGUUUGACUCAUUCUGUAUAAAUCGAAGCAGAACUAGAAAAUGAGUUCACAGUGAAAAUUUGAAGAAGUCUAACGGUCGCUGAUAAAACUUCAUAACUAAAAUCAUAAAGCAGCAAUCCAAAGUAACUGAAGUACAACUAUUCAGACAAGAUUGUAGUUUUGGGACUUUGGCAGCACCCUCAUACACUACGUUAGAUAUCAGCAUCAGUAAUCUUUAUAUUAAGAUACCCAGAUACUGUUCAAAUCCGAUAUGAAGGCUCAAAGGAGGUUUAGGAAGAGGUCCACGGUUAGAACCCUAACUAACGA